CAAGGCCAUCUGGACACAAGUGAGUCCUUUUGGUUUUACUGCUGCCUGAACACCAAGACCUUCCUCAGCCCUGUAAAAAGCCGGGAGAGGUGGAUCAGCCAUGAAGAUCCUGUACCUGCUCUUUCCAAUGUUUCUCCUGUUGGUCCAGGAUGUUGAAGG
Myiozetetes cayanensis is the source of this 159-nucleotide long non-coding RNA. RefSeq lists it as uncharacterized. NCBI's taxonomy places the organism in Eukaryota, Metazoa, Chordata, Aves, Passeriformes, Tyrannidae. The record is from RefSeq and is a predicted model, not a curated record. The transcript has 2 exons.